This 465-nucleotide ribosomal RNA is filed under the name Triticum aestivum (bread wheat). RNAcentral's name for it is "partial small subunit ribosomal RNA". The record is from RNAcentral. Lineage: Eukaryota; Viridiplantae; Streptophyta; Magnoliopsida; Poales; Poaceae.
AUGACUAAGGACAAUUUGUUAAAAAGAGGGAUCACUAAACCGCCCGAAUGCAUGUUUUGUACAGAGGACGAAUCCAUACACCUGUUCUUUGGAUGUGUAGUUGUUAAACAGAUUUGGGCUGAUGUGUCCAAAAUCCUUUCCUAUGAUUUAGGUAAUGACUACAUAUCUAUUGCUAGAUUUUGGCCAGCCCAUAAGAAUAAGAUGGUCUUGAACUCUGUCUGUGCCUGUGUUAUGUGGUGCAUCUGGAAGUUCAGAAAUUCCAUGGUUUUUAAUAGUGUAAUGUGGACCGACCUUAAACAGGUUUGGUGGCAGAUUCACUUGACUCUCAAGAAGUGGAUGAUCUUGUUCAAAGGAACAGGCCUAGAAGAAUUGAAGCUAGUUUCUCAGAAGGUAGCAAUGAUCCUCACCUCUCCCUUCCUGCUGACCAUGGGGUUAUUAAUGGCAAUGAUACUGUGGGUAUCUUAA